AGCGCAGGCGGGACUGCAAGUUGGAUGUGAAAUACCGUGGCUUAACCACGGAACUGCAUCCAAAACUGUAGUUCUUGAGUGAAGUAGAGGCAAGCGGAAUUCCGAGUGUAGCGGUGAAAUGCGUAGAUAUUCGGAGGAACACCAGUGGCGAAGGCGGCUUGCUGGGCUUUAACUGACGCUGAGGCUCGAAAGUGUGGGAGCAAACA
Molecule: ribosomal RNA, 206 nt
Filed under: uncultured bacterium
Lineage: Bacteria
Description: partial 16S ribosomal RNA
Rfam family: Bacterial small subunit ribosomal RNA
Source: RNAcentral